Molecule: long non-coding RNA, 827 nt
Organism: Chelonoidis abingdonii (Abingdon island giant tortoise)
Lineage: Eukaryota; Metazoa; Chordata; Testudines; Testudinidae
Source: RefSeq, a predicted model, not a curated record
AAAGCAACAUGGACUUGCCAGCUGCUCAAUCCAUUGAGGACUCCACUGACAAGAUGCUGUUAUUUUAAGGGGAGGAAAAAAAGGAAACAAAAAAAGCCACUUCAAAUAGUUCAGCUAGUCGCAAAUCUGAAUCAAGUCAGCAGAACAUCAGACAUGGAGAUGAGAGAAAUGCAGCUGAUUUGAACGUUGAGGGUGUGAAAACUUCAGGAAGUUCCUAGAAGAUCUGGGAUAUCUACAGAAAGGAAACAAGCAAAACUCCUCACUGCUACCAAGAGGAGAAGAGUUACAGGUGCUCAGGAUUUGAGUAGAAAGGAAUAGGAAUGGAGCUGAACAGAUCCAACACCUGAAAGGAUGAUUGGAUCUCAAAAUAUGAAACCAGGAAAAAGACCCUUCAUUCAAUAAAGCACCAGGACUGGCUCUAUGGAGAGGUAAGCAGCAUUUGGUAAGUCUAACAAAUGAGCAUAGCAAUUUUUUAGGGCUCAUUAUAACUUAUAUUGUGCCAAAGGGUUUGUUACAGCUGAUUACACACCUCAGGAGCUAAGAGGAUGUGAGGGGGAUGGCAGAUGUCAGGGGAUUCAUCUUUAUUAGGAGGUGGCGAACCUGCUUGUCACAUAAUGUUCAAAAGUUGCUGCUGGGAUGGAAGCAAAGAAGAAAGCCCUGGAGACGGGUUAGUGCUGGGACACAGACACUAUCCUGGAGGGGCGUGGGACAGGGUAUGUAACCAUAGUGACCAGUGGGUCCUUUCCCCACUGUGAUCCUGGCUCGCAUGCACAGGGUGAAACCGAUCGCCAUGUUUGGGGUCAGGAAGGAAUUUUCCUCCAGGGCAG